Molecule: small nuclear RNA, 182 nt
Filed under: Chrysemys picta bellii (western painted turtle)
Lineage: Eukaryota; Metazoa; Chordata; Testudines; Emydidae
Description: U2 spliceosomal RNA (ENSCPBG00000018914.1)
Rfam family: U2 spliceosomal RNA (bases 1-114)
About the family: U2 is a small nuclear RNA (snRNA) component of the spliceosome (involved in pre-mRNA splicing).
Source: RNAcentral
AUACGCUUUCUGCUGAGCUGUGGCGCAAACCUAGUAUCUGUUCUUAUCAGUUUAAUAUCUGAUAUGUUCUCGAUGUGAGAACUUUAUAUUAAAUUGCCUUAUGUGUCACUUUCCAAAGACAGUGAAAUAGAGAUAAAUGUCAGGUUCAGUUAGAAUAUAGUGGAUGUACUGAUAUACCUGAA